CUCAACCAUCUUGGGCUAAACCAAAUCAAAUCACUAUCCUUGAAGAUUUUGAAAUUAAAAGCUUGCUUUUAUUACUAAAGGAAUAAGGAUACAUAAAUGCAUAAACAUAAAAAUCCUUAUAGAUUACUACAAUUAGUGAUGAAGAUGCAUAACAGUAAUGGAAGUCAGGUUUUUAUUUCCUUGCAACAUCAAAAAUGGUCCAAGAAGAAGGGCACUGCCCCAUGAGAACAAAUUGUCAGUGGAAAAUCUUAAAUCAUGAAUUUCAAUGAAUUUACGGAAAAGUGAAAUGAUCUUUAUCUAAAAGCAAAAUAGAAAGUGCAAAAUAGUAUAGUAAAAGAAAGGAAUCUCCUAAUUUUGAUGGAGAUUUCCAUCACUAUGAAAUGCCAUUACAAGUCAUGAUCCUACCAAAUUUUGUUAAAUUCAGGGAAAGAAAGAGAGAAUGAGCAAAGGUAUGCCCACCACCGCAGGCCUUAUGGUGGCCUGAUCCACCAUCCCGGAGGCCUUAUGUUAUGACACAACUUUUUAUUAGAAGUUUCUUUUUACUACUUCAUCUUUGCUUGAUUAGACUCUUGAAUCAAAAGCUAAGAGAUGGUGGUCCUGAAAUGCCUGUUCUGCCACUGCAUUCAACAGGAAAACCCUCUGCAAUCAAAAGCUAAGAGAUGGUGAUGCUGAAAUGCCUGUUCUGCACUGCAUUCAACAGGAAAACCUAAGAAAAUGAAUUGGUUUCAUAAAAAAAAAAAAAAGAAAAAAGAAUGGUUAUUGAUGCAAAACUCAAAUCACAAUAUAAUCAAGUGGCAGCGCUUGGGAAGUUAUUCAUCAAUAUUUAAUGAAAUAAUGGGUCAAAAAGAACAGAAAGAAUGCCCAUAGUGAAAACAUUGUGAGAGCGAUACCUGCCACAUGAUAUGUUGCAGUAUUAUAGCAGAAAAGUCCUAGACAGGAUUACCAGCUAGUGAUACGAUAAUAUUAUGAUGGUUUUGCUUUGCCCAUUUAAAAACGAAAGCCACCGCACUUGUUUGAAAGUACUGUUAUUUUACAAGUGCCGAUCAUCCAUUUCAUUCCUUGUAUAUAUUCAAAUGAAAAUAUUGAAAUCAUUAUCAGCAAUCACUUUCUUUAUCUUUAAGCAACUCUUUUUACCCUUCCAUUCAUCCAAAUAUCUGCUAUUUGGUAUAAACAACUAGAAAUUGAG
RNAcentral lists this long non-coding RNA (1186 nucleotides) under Durio zibethinus. RNAcentral's name for it is "long non-coding RNA (DZIB_LNC002071)". The record is from RNAcentral. Lineage: Eukaryota; Viridiplantae; Streptophyta; Magnoliopsida; Malvales; Malvaceae.